CAAAAGUGGAACAUUGAUUACAGUGUCGAGGGACAUUGUGUUUGUCACUUUUUUUCUUUAUACCAUAAAAAUGUUCUCUUAAUUAAGAUUGGUAUAAAGAAAAAAAGUGCACUUUACUAUUUACUCCCUCGACACUGUAAUCAAUGUUCCACUUU
Molecule: microRNA precursor, 155 nt
Filed under: Pelobates cultripes (western spadefoot toad)
Lineage: Eukaryota; Metazoa; Chordata; Amphibia; Anura; Pelobatidae
Source: RNAcentral